This 403-nucleotide ribosomal RNA is filed under the name uncultured Anaerovorax sp. Its description in RNAcentral is "bacterial SSU rRNA". It matches the Rfam family "Bacterial small subunit ribosomal RNA", at positions 356 to 774 of the family's 1533-position model. The record is from RNAcentral. Lineage: Bacteria; Bacillati; Bacillota; Clostridia; Peptostreptococcales; Anaerovoracaceae.
GGGGAAUAUUGCACAAUGGGCGAAAGCCUGAUGCAGCAACGCCGCGUGAGCGAAGAAGGCCUUUGGGUCGUAAAGCUCUGUUGGAAGGGAAGAAAAAAAUGACGGUACCUUCUGAGGAAGCCCCGGCUAACUACGUGCCAGCAGCCGCGGUAAUACGUAGGGGGCGAGCGUUAUCCGGAAUUAUUGGGCGUAAAGAGUGCGUAGGUGGUCUUGUAAGCGUGGGGUGAAAGGCAGUGGCUUAACCAUUGUAAGCCCUGCGAACUGUGAGACUUGAGUGCAGGAGAGGAAAGCGGAAUUCCUAGUGUAGCGGUGAAAUGCGUAGAUAUUAGGAGGAACACCAGUGGCGAAGGCGGCUUUCUGGACUGUAACUGACACUGAGGCACGAAAGCGUGGGGAGCAAACA